GCACUGAUGAAGAGUCCCAUACUAGGAUGAAACAGCUGUCCAGUAC
Non-coding RNA from Schistosoma mattheei, 46 nucleotides. The record is from Rfam. Lineage: Eukaryota; Metazoa; Platyhelminthes; Trematoda; Strigeidida; Schistosomatidae.